RNAcentral lists this ribosomal RNA (254 nucleotides) under uncultured bacterium. Its description in RNAcentral is "partial 16S ribosomal RNA". It matches the Rfam family "Bacterial small subunit ribosomal RNA", at positions 524 to 776 of the family's 1533-position model. The record is from RNAcentral.
UACGGAGGGGGCUAGCGUUGUUCGGAAUUACUGGGCGUAAAGAGCGCGCAGGCGGUCGAUCAAGUCGCGUGUGAAAGCCCCCGGCUCAACUGGGGAGGGUCACGCGAUACUGAUCGACUCGAAGGCAGGAGAGGGUAGUGGAAUUCCCGGUGUAGUGGUGAAAUGCGUAGAUAUCGGGAGGAACACCAGUGGCGAAGGCGACUACCUGGCCUGUUUCUUGACGCUGAGGCGCGAAAGCUAGGGGAGCAAACGGG